GUGAGGAAUUUUGCGCAAUGGCCGCAAGGCUGACGCAGCAACGCCGCGUGGGUGAUGAAGGCCUUCGGGUCGUAAAGCCCUGUCAGGUGGGAAGAAAGGCCUGGAGAGGAAAGGUUUCAGGUUUGACGGUACCACCAGAGGAAGCACCGGCUAACUCCGUGCCAGCAGCCGCGGUAAUACGGAGGGUGCGAGCGUUAUUCGGAAUUACUGGGCGUAAAGCGCGUGUAGGCGGGGGGACAAGUCUGAUGUGAAAGCCCUGGGCUUAACCUGGGAAGCGCAUUGGAAACUGUUUGUCUUGAGUACUGGAGAGGAAGGGGGAAUUCCCGGUGUAGAGGUGAAAUUCGUAGAGAUCGGGAGGAAUACCAGUGGCGUAGGCGCCCUUCUGGACGGUAACUGACGCUGAGACGCGAAAGCGUGGGGAGCAAACAGGAUUAGAUACCCUGGUAGUCC
RNAcentral lists this ribosomal RNA (450 nucleotides) under uncultured bacterium. Its description in RNAcentral is "partial 16S ribosomal RNA". It matches the Rfam family "Bacterial small subunit ribosomal RNA", at positions 354 to 796 of the family's 1533-position model. The record is from RNAcentral.